AACGAACGCUGGCGGCAGGCUUAACACAUGCAAGUCGAACGCACCUUUCGGGGUGAGUGGCAGACGGGUGAGUAACGCGUGGGAAUCUACCCUUCUCUACGGGAUAGCUCCGGGAAACUGGAAUUAAUACCGUAUACGUCCUGAGGAGAAAGAUUUAUCGGGGAAGGAUGAGCCCGCGUUGGAUUAGCUAGUUGGUGGGGUAAAGGCCUACCAAGGCGACGAUCCAUAGCUGGUCUAAGAGGAUGAUCAGCCACAUUGGGACUGAGACACGGCCCAAACUCCUACGGGAGGCAGCAGUGGGGAAUAUUGGACAAUGGGCGCAAGCCUGAUCCAGCCAUGCCGCGUGAGUGAUGAAGGCCCUAGGGUUGUAAAGCUCUUUCAGUGGGGACGAUAAUGACGGUACCCACAGAAGAAGCCCCGGCUAACUUCGUG
Molecule: ribosomal RNA, 432 nt
Filed under: uncultured bacterium
Lineage: Bacteria
Description: partial 16S ribosomal RNA
Rfam family: Bacterial small subunit ribosomal RNA
Source: RNAcentral